UAUAAUCAUUUAUUCAUUGAUUACGUGUGUGCAUAUGAUUAUGUUCAAUACAAUAAAUUUGAUAUGUAACACAAACACACGCGGUGCAUAUUGCAUAUAGUGUUAUUACAUAUUGCAUCAUGCAAGCUCCAUGCUGUUCCACCCCACGUGGGUCACACCGCGAGGGUGAUUCUUAUUAUACAUCCAAGCUCCCAUCACUUCCACCCAUCACCGGGCGGAUAUAAGGCCGACCCAGUUUGACCUCCGACGAAUAGAUACUCAGACAGACACUCUUAUGCUCGUCUUGCUCGUGCAGAUACAUUGUCCAGGACCAGCAGGACAAGUGGGCCGCGGUCGGAACCUUCAAGACCCUCGCUGCCCAGAAUGCAACCGGCUCGAAUCUCGCCCAGGUUCGCAGGAGAGCGAGUUGGACAAGCUAGACUACUUGUCCGGGACGAGAUAGUGGAGGUUCCGAACUGUCAAAACAUCUCGUCCAACUGGUCUGGACAAGCAGGACGAGCAGUUCCGAACGCAGCAUUAAUACGGUCAGACGGUGAUCCUAUAUUACCGCCGCCCACGCCACCUUCUUUUCCAGGAUGGACGGCUGCGGGUACCAUCCAGCAUGACAAGUCUCGUAUCAUGUUUAUUUCUACUUGUGUGUAACUCUUUGGGAUAGAGAGUGAAGCCGUAAUUGUAGUUUGAAACCUGUCCACCAGUGUUUGAUAUAGGAGGUAUAACACCUUUUAUAGCGAUUUAUACAGGACAUCCAUCAUCACCUGAGGCUACCACUGACAGGAGCGCAUGGCCGCAUCCUCCUUGCACUUCCAUACACGCGGGUCCCUCCAGGCGAGCCAUUUGCCUGGUCCUCUUCCAAUCUCGAACUCCUCGACAGAUCUGCCCAAGCCAUAGCCUCCUAGGACUCCUCCACCCAAGGUUGUUUUGGGAAGAGACGAACCUGAUGAGAAGGGUCGUCCUCGGGGAAACAAGCUUGGUCCACGGAGAGCCUGAAGGUUCCGGAUUGUGCACUUUACAGGUCUUACGCCAGUCUCGGGGUGUAACCUUUGGUUGGACAUAUUCCUGACAGCUGUACCCCACGACUCGGCGUAAGGACCUAUUUCAAAAGGUAUCAAGAUGAGACUCUAAGACGGUUUUCCAAUAUAUAUAAAACCACUUUCAUGGUAGUUAUACUUGCAGAAGUGUAUAUUAGCUUACGUUAGUCUAUACUUUUAUAGGUUUAUAUUACCAAUACAUUGAAUUUCAAUAACUAAGUGUUAAUAAAAAACAUUAACUUUAACUGACAUAUCCAUCUAUGGAUUCUUUUAUUCUUUUAAGACCCUCUAGCGUCCCUCAGAAAAACCCUAGUGACCCUCAUUUGGGUCGCGACAUGAGGUUGGGAACCACUACUCUGAGCCAUGGGACAAGGUCCAGGUUUUGUUUCUAUAAAGCAAAACUAGCAGUAUCAGAACCUUCAAGACAUGUAGCUUGGCCCUUCUGUGCUGGUACUGACAUCUCCAAAUACACCUGGUGCUAGGCCAUUCUGUCUACUAACUUUCUGGUCGGACUGCCCAUAGUCACAGCCUACACUACUAAGGCAUGUGAAACUGUAUGACUUCAGUAUCCUCGCCGCAAACCCAUAUCGACGGAAGUUUCUCCUGGCAGGUCCUAAAGUCCUGGAUCUUGGUCUAGGAGACCUCUGGAGCCAGUCUUCGCUUCAUUACAUACUGCAUCUAGAGCUGCCACUAGGUUUCUCAGAUAGCAUGGCCACAUGAUCAGCAAAGUCAUUGAACUUGAUAUUGCCCCAUGUUGCUCCACGAUGGCUUUGGCUAGUAGCUCUAUCCAUAAAAUCUAUGCAGGUGUCGAAGUGUUAGUUAGAGAACACGGCCUUGUCUCUCUCCUGAGUAGACAGGUAAAGAGCCGGAGUAAUUUACAGUACUUUCAGUACAGUGUAUGGGGCUUGCUAUUAGUCCAACAGUCUUUAUCGGAAUUCCCUUAUGUCUCGAAAUCUCCUAAAGUGAUUUGUGAUGUGCCAAAUCAAACGCCUUCUUGAGGUCCUAGCGAUCGACAUUGACUCGAAGUGCUAGGUUAAGGUCCAUUAUGGAAUGGCCAAUGAAGUUCAAAGUAAAGUAACAGGUCUCUGGUACCUCAUUAAGCGAUCUCAAGAGGAAAGUAAACUUUGCCAAGAAUACUGAGCACUGUAAUGCUUCGGUAAUUGUUGCAGUCCCAAUGAUUCCCUCUCCCAGGGAAGGAUGACUAUGCCCCUUAGCAGGUCCGGGGAAUAACACUGGGCUGUCAAAUAUCUGCCUGGACGUCAUGCAGAGCUCUUGUAUUUUGGAAUCGGUAUCAAUGGUAUGAACCAUCUCAGACCUAUCGACGACAUUGUAGUGAUAUCAAGCUAUCUUCAUGAAAUAAAAGGACACUAUUAAGAUAAACCGAAGAUAAGCACCAACAAAACCAGACACAAUUGAAAAUGCAUUAUAUUACAAUAUUUGAGGGAAGAAAUAUGGCCAGACAAAAGACAAUGUUGAAAGAAAUAAUCCGUAAUGUCAAACAAGCCAGGAAGACUUUAAACCUUUUUACCCUACUACACGAAGAUUCGUGUUCCAGUAAAAAUAUUUCUGGACUCAGUUUUUUUAUUUAAGUUGCUCGUCAAAAUGAUUGAGAUGUUUCAUUAUUUUGCCAAAUUCUCAGCUAAUUUUCUAAACGAUUAAACCCGCCACAAAUGAAAUGCGAAGGUAAGUCCACAAUGGUGGCCUCAGAUAAGAGUAACGAUACCCCAUCAGUGUAAUAAAUAGCGCCCUUCAAUACAGUCACAACAUAAGAAAUAUGCGAAAAGAUUUGCAAACAAUGUAAUGUUGUGAUAUAAACUUGGGAAAGCUGCCGCUCCCCCAAGACUUCUUUUUUCACUCUCAGCCCUUCCCCUAUUAGAAACAUUCUGUAUCCAACUGAGGGCACAAGCCUUACUCAUGGUUAGCAUGCAUUGCAAAUAGCAUAAACAAGAAAAUGCCAGUAAUACAGCAUUAAAAUUAUAAUUGUAAUCUUUACAGUAUGGACACAUUAAGUUAGGACAAAUUGAUUAUGAUAUCCUUGCAAAGGACAAAAAGUUGCAGUAAUCUGUACAAGAAAUAAUCUGCAGACACGAACGGUAAUGCCACAAAUAACGGGUAAAAAAGAUGGCGGAAAGCACCGCUCUCAGUCAAAGUCCUCUUGGUGCUUCCGAGUUUCAGCUCUAAUGCCGUGCAUAUGAGGUGAAGACUGUCUCCAGGAUUGUGUUGGGUGGCAGAGCCCAUUAACCCUACCCUCGGGCAAUGCACAAUGGACACGACCAGUCACAGCAAUUUAGAUUGAUCAAUAAAUUUUUGACGUGGAGUUGAGAACAGUUUCUGGCAAGUGCGUCUAUACUGUAAAAAAGUUACCCAAUUACCUCUAUUGAGAAUUGGACAGCCAAUGUUUCUGGGACAGUCUGCCACUUAAUACCUUCAGUGAUUGCACACUUCUAGGGCGACCCUUACCAGAUUGCAUCCAUGAGUCAAAAUAAUGGACAAAAAAAAACUUUUAGAUAAAAUCAUUGGGUAAUUUUUUUUGUAAAAUUAUGGGAAAUGCAAUUAAGCUUAAAGUUAAAGUCAUGAAAAGACAAACUUCUUUUAGUCAAAUCAGGGAAUAAUCCCAUUUUAGUAAAAAAACAAAGGGGGGGGGGAUAGCGACUUUCUUAUUAAAAAUCACGCAAAGUACCUCACUGGUCAAAAUCAAAGAAAGAGAAGUGUUCCUUUAACAAAAUCUUAGGAAACAAAAUUGUCCUUGUAAUAAAAAUAUAAAAUAAUGUUUCCUUUCAGUAAAAGCAGGGAGAAAAGUAACCUUUUGGUACAAUCAAAGCAUGCAAAGUGGCAUUUUUGUUCUAAUUAUGCAAAGAAAUAUACCCAUCUUGUGAAAAUCAAGAAUAUGAAAAAAGAAAUAGAUGUGAGAGAAAAGUGCCAUUUUGGGUAAAAUCUGGGAGAAGUUGUUCUUUGGUUGGGAAAACAAAAGUGGCAUUUUGGUUAACUGUAGUAUCUGCUAUAUGUGCAUUAUCGUUUACUGGAAGAUAAUUUUCUCAGAGAAAAUUGAGCUUUUAAAUUUUAUUAAAAACACAUGUAUACAUAUGUAUUGAUACCAAAAGCAUAGAUUGUUUUUCCAUAUCAGAAACUACUAGAUAAGAUCUUGUUUUGAUUAAAAUCCUAGAUUAUAGGAUCAUAUUAAAUCAUAGCAUGGUUCAUAUAAAUUGUUUAUUGAAGUAGCAAAGAAAAAAAAGCAUUACAGUACAAUAUACAUAAGAGAUUACAUUCAAGGCACUUAAUGAUGACAAUAUUUCACAACAAAGGACAGUUAUUAAGAUCUAUUUUUAAUUUCAUGGUCCCAAAAUAAUUUCUGGUGAUACAAGUAUUUAAAAUAGUCCUUCAAGUGGGCAAUUAUCACUCCUAAAAAUGCCUAUAAAGAACACAGCAUUUAUAACUAAAUAUCUUAGUCACACAUAUAAACUACUUGGCAUGAAGUUAUGUUACCAAAUAUUUAUUGUUGAUGCUUAUAAAAUGCAUAAGAUUUUUUUUUUUUUUUUUAUAGAUUUUUUAAUAUCCUUAAUUCAUCUUCUCACAUGCUAAGUGUUUUAAUGGAUUCUCAUAUACAUUCUAGAGUAUAAAAGCUUCCCAUGCAACACUAAAUCCAUGCAAAAAUGAUCUUAUUAAUGCAAAAGUCAUGAAUCGUAGCUGAAAUAAUAUCAAAAUUAACCAUUAAACAAAAUAGUAAUAAUUGGCUCAUAGGAUUCCUAUAGCUUGAGAAGUAAUAAUUACUAUAAUUCCUAAGUCACCAUCUAGAACACACUUACAAUAAUUAAUACUUUCCUAUAUUAUGCUUAACACCCUGAUUCAUAAUGACCAUUGAUUAAGACACUCAUUAACAAACAGAAAGCAACAGAAUUACCAAAGGUCAACAUUAUUCUCCAGUGUAUUUUAUCCCUUGUAAUUGUACUGGGCAUGUCAAUCUUUUUAAUAUUUUACACAUUCUAAAAACAGAGGUUAACUCCUUCAACAUACUACUGAAAACACAAGGUUGGAUCAAUAGUUCUCACUGGAGACAGCACAAGAAAGGUAGAAAACACACAUUUUGACCCAAAUGAUACUUUAUUACUACUAAAGGAAAGUUCAAAUAUUCUUGCAGCAUUCUUUUUAAAUUUGCAUUACAUUAAAAAUCAACUAUCAAUAAUAGAAUCUUCAUUUUCACAAAUUACUUGAUAUGAUUGUUCCAUUGAGUAUUGUCAGCAGCCUAAGUAAUAUAUUAUGCUUUCAUGUGAGGACUGUGACUAAGGCAUGAAAUAUAUGAGGUAUUCUGUAUCUUACUGUUGUUAGGUAUAUUCUGCUGCUUUUCCACACAAGGCUGAGUUUUUGCAAUCACCUAAAAUCUUAAAAGAGGUACUACACCAUGCUAAGAGGUGAUUGCAAAAUUUCAAUAUGGUGCCAUUUAAGAUGAAAGAUGUAAAAAAAAAAAAAAAAAGGAAAAAUGAAAAAAAGGUCCAUUCCUGCACAAUUUUCUACUGGUAGAUUUUUUUUAACAACUCAAUUUGUUUGCGUAUAAUUAGUGAUCACUUAUCUGCAAUAUAUAAAUUUUGUAUAAAAAACUACUCAUCACAAAUCUAUUUAAUUGCAUUUUUUUUAUUUUAAACAAUUUUUAUCUAUUUAAACCUUUGUUUGGUUUGGCAUCUUUGUUUAUGCUAAUACAACAUAAUGUCCAAAGGCUUUCUAUUUGUGUUAGUAUUACAUAAAGCAUUGUACCUAAUUAUGCAACUGUGAGAAUACUGAUAUUACUUAUUGUAUAAGUACAUUCCAUAAUAUUUAUAUACCAAGUUCUGGCCAUCACAAACUUCUUAACUACAUGGCUUUGCAGAUGAAUCUUAAGAGA
Non-coding RNA from Penaeus vannamei (Pacific white shrimp), 5901 nucleotides. The record is from RefSeq and is a predicted model, not a curated record. NCBI's taxonomy places the organism in Eukaryota, Metazoa, Arthropoda, Malacostraca, Decapoda, Penaeidae.